Molecule: RNA transcript, 1913 nt
Organism: Oryzias latipes (Japanese medaka)
Lineage: Eukaryota; Metazoa; Chordata; Actinopteri; Beloniformes; Adrianichthyidae
Gene name: glutamyl-tRNA(Gln) amidotransferase, subunit B
Source: RefSeq, a predicted model, not a curated record
UUGCUUAGACGAACAGCGGCGUUGAAGCAGAUAUCACGGACUAAUUAAUGGAACUACAAAUUCCAUCAUCCUUUAACACUUCACUGCAAACAUGGCUGCUUCUCGUGUAACAGCAAAUGAAAUAUUUCUUAACAUAAAACAAAUAUCAACACGGUAUCCGAAAGCUUUGUGUUUAUUCCGAAAAAUCAGUACUUCAAGACCACACUAUGAUAAACAACCUGAACCGAGAACAAAGAGUGCCUCCCAGCAGCUGGUUGGAGUGGUCGGCCUGGAAGUUCACGCCCAGAUUAACUCCAACACCAAGCUGUUCUCUGGUUCUCCAGUUCGCUUCUCAGCUCCUCCCAACUCCCUGGUUUCAUUUUUUGAUGCGUCUUUACCCGGCACAUUACCUAUGCUGAACAGGCGAUGUGUUGAAGCUGCAGUGAUGACCGGAUUGGCUCUCAACUGCACCAUAAAUAAGAAGUCGUAUUUUGACAGGAAACACUACUUCUAUGCUGACCUUCCGGCCGGUUACCAGAUCACCCAGCAGCGAAAACCAAUCGCGGUAGAUGGCGUGCUGACUUACAGCUACUUCGGAGAAAAGAAGAGAAGCCAGAUGAUCAGAAAAAGUGUGCAGAUCAAACAGAUCCAGCUGGAGCAGGACAGUGGCAAGAGUCUGCACGACGACGACCGGAGCCAGACCCUCAUAGAUCUCAACAGAGCAGGUGUGGGUCUAAUGGAACUGGUAAUGGAGCCAGAGAUGAAGAGCGGAGAGGAGGCCGCUGCAGCCAUCAGGGAGCUUCAGCUCAUCCUGCAGGCUCUGGGCACCUGUCAAGGCAACAUGUCGGAGGGCCAGCUGAGAGUGGACGCCAACGUGUCCGUCCACAGACCAGGAGAGCCUCUGGGCAUCAGGACCGAGGUGAAGAACAUCAACAGCAUCCGAUAUCUGGCCAGAGCGAUUGACUAUGAGAUCCAGAGACAGAUUGAUGCCGUGCAGAGCGGGCGGGCGGUGCAGAACGAGACACGGGCGUAUGAUUCCAAAUCAGGGGAAACGGUUCCAAUGAGGGAGAAAGAGGGCCUUCAGGAUUACAGGUUCAUGCCAGAGCCAAACCUCCCCGCCCUGAUUGUGUACGAGGAUAACGCAUCGCUGCCCACCGGCAUUGAUCCCAGCCAGGCGGUGGUGGUGCAGAAGAUAAAAGACAGGCUGCCAGAGUUACCUGGUGUCAAAAGAGACAGGCUGGUGCAGACAUACGGCAUCCUGCCAGAGCACAGCUUCACUCUGGUGAAUGAGGAUGGGUUGAUGGAGUACUUUGAGACGUUGAUGAAAACAACCCAGAGGGAGCCCAGGAAGGUGAUUGGCUGGGUGACAAAUGAGUUGUUAGGUCACCUUAAGCAGCGAGACAUGAGUGUGAGCCAGAGCCCAAUUUCUCCUGCGCAUUUGGCUGAGCUGCUGAAGCUGCAGGAGACGGGACGUAUCUCCUCUUCGGCUGCUAAGCAGGUGUUUCAGGAGAUGUGGAGGUCUGGAGGAAAAACGGCCUGGCAGAUCGUCCAGGAGCAGGAGCUAGGGCUUGUCCACGACUCUGCGCAGCUCCACAGCAUCUGUCAGAAGGUGGUGGAUUCACAUCCGGAUGAGGUUCAUGCCGUCAGAAACGGAAACAAGAAAGUCCUCAACAAGUUGAUCGGUCUGGUCCAGAAAGAGACUAAAGGAAGAGCUGACCCAGUUCUGGUGAAGGAAAUCCUGCAGCAGAUGACACAAUGAGGCCCGACAUGAAGCUCCUGUAGAACCAACCAGUCAAGCCACUAUUUCAACUUUGAUUCAAAUACUGAAUGCAAGACAAGAUGGAGUGCUCCUGUGCGAUGGCUGCCAGCUCUUUGAGGAACUCUGUGAAGAGGACGGUUGCAAAGACCUCCGUCUGCUCCUCAGAGAUGGUUUU